GCCCUAGUGGCACAAAGGUUAAGCAUUUGGCUGCUAACCAAAAGGUCAGAGGUUUGAAUCCCUCAGUGGCU
Molecule: transfer RNA, 71 nt
Filed under: Loxodonta africana (African savanna elephant)
Lineage: Eukaryota; Metazoa; Chordata; Mammalia; Proboscidea; Elephantidae
Rfam family: tRNA
About the family: Transfer RNA (tRNA) molecules are approximately 80 nucleotides in length. Their secondary structure includes four short double-helical elements and three loops (D, anti-codon, and T loops).
Source: Rfam by way of RNAcentral